Molecule: non-coding RNA, 73 nt
Filed under: Paenibacillus sp.
Lineage: Bacteria; Bacillati; Bacillota; Bacilli; Caryophanales; Paenibacillaceae
Also listed under: 1 other name
Description: Guanine sequence
Rfam family: Purine riboswitch aptamer
About the family: Riboswitches are metabolite binding domains within certain messenger RNAs that serve as precision sensors for their corresponding targets.
Source: RNAcentral
CUCUUGUAUAAGCUCAAUAAUUUGGUUUGAGCGUUUCGACCAGGCGACCGUAAAUUGCCCCAGGCUACAAGAG